GACCAUAAAACUGCUCAUGUAUUAUAAGAAGAAAUUUGAAAAACCCUCCAACACAAAAGUUAUUCAUCACAUCGAAUCUCCAACAUUUUAUAGUAGAGUAGACGAUCUAUCACAGUGUAUCAUUCAAGUUUCACACAAACAUAAAUAGAAGCUUCUAAAUUCAUAAGCAUACAAUAAGAUAAGAAAUACCAUUUUAAUUUUUUCUCAUUUAUUGUCUAGAUUAGAUAGGCCACUCCGUCCAGUGCCCACAGUGAGGGCAUUUUUACUUGAAAAAAGCUAGUACUCUUCCAUGCUUGCACUUCUCACAAAUAGAUGGGCCAUCUGUGCCGGCUAAUAGCCGUAAUGCAGCCAUUCCCGCACCCGCUCUAGCACCACCACCAUCACCGGCCCCGGCGGGCCCCGCUCCCCCGGUGGCCCCCGCUCCCCCGGCGGCCCCCGCUCCCCUUGCGGCCCUCGCUCCCCCUGUGGCCCCCGCCAUCGGAUACAGCAAAAAAGGAAACCACAAAGCAUGACGGCAGCAAUGACUAAACCAACAAUAACCCAAGUUGGAGGGUUAUUGUCAUCGCAUGAUACGCAAUUCGGCUCGAUCCAUGUUGAUGGAGGAGGAUCGAUCCAUGCU
Molecule: long non-coding RNA, 619 nt
Filed under: Eucalyptus grandis
Lineage: Eukaryota; Viridiplantae; Streptophyta; Magnoliopsida; Myrtales; Myrtaceae
Description: long non-coding RNA (EGRA_LNC000532)
Source: RNAcentral